GUUGUCAUUGUGAAGAAUUGUUCAGAAGAACGGGGGAUUUACUCGUGUCCUAGUUUACUGGCUUGAAGGCUCAAGCUGCACGAGGGCAGGCAGGAGCUGCUCUCUUCUCACUGACCGUUUGCCAUGACAUGAGAAUGAACAUCGUGCAACAGGCGACCUACAGCUACAGCUCCAUUCUCCACAGCAUCCCCGCCUUGAGCAGUGGCAGUGGCACAGCAAAGCUGGGCAAACCAAGAGGGGCAGGGACCAGCUGCAGGGAGGUGCAGGGAGGCAGCACGGAAGUUCACCCACCUUCAGAUGAAAAGGGAAACCGGUGGUGGGAAGGGCACGAGAGGAGCAAUGGCGCGAUGGGGAUGGGAAUAGCUGCUGAGGCUGGAGGAGGGUGGGGAGGAAGGGCUGCUCCUGCAUCGCCAGCCCCAGCUCUAGCACCAAACACAAGCAUGAGCUGUCACUGCUGUGGAAUGCAGCAGAUGGCCAAAUUGUUAGAUUCUCCCUUGCAAGAGCAAAAUGAUAUACUGUUUUUUACCAUCCUUGCCUGGAGCUGAGUGCUUGCUUCGCAUACCAUGAAGAUAUACUGUACAAAGGUACUUCGUGCCAGAAAUGUGCUCUAGUGAUAAUCAGGAGAAAACUGUGCUUAAAGUGACAUUUAAAAAAUAAUUAUUAUGGUCCAUUGCUGUUAGUCACACGUCCCCAAAGCUGAUCUGGCUAACAGAGCUUUCCAAAGCAUUUUUCCUUGAUAUGUCAUCUGGAAAUUAUGCCAUCGUGCUGUCACCGUGUCUUGCCUUGCAAUCACCCGGACACUAUCUAUGUGCUCACACACACCAGUUUUUUUCCCUCUUUUAGGGGGAAAGAAAUUCUCUUUUCCUUUCUCUGUUUCUCACGCUGCUUUGGCUGUGGUCAUACCGCUUCUUGGCUCAGCCAUUUGCUGGAGAGAAGAGGCCUUACUGCUGCAGUGCUGGCUAUGAAGCACCGCGAUCCCACCUCCCCUUGCUUGAGGCCUCAGCCAGCAGCACUGCUGGGCCCUGAUGUGCCCCGCAGCAGCUGAAGGCUCUGCAGAACCCAGGUCUGUGUACAGAUGCUGCAGAGCUCACCUGCGUCAUACUAAUAUCAGGUGCUUGAAACUUUAUAUUGGAGGCCCAGGGCUGUGAGUGGCGAGUCAUUGCAGCAGGUGUGCUUUGCCAGCUCCAGCUCUGAGCUGACGAUAAGGGAGAGGGGGGAGGCUCUCAAGAGAGCCCUGGCGGAGACUGAAGUGGAAGAGAAAACCCAGAGUGCCUGGUAAGCC
This 1282-nucleotide long non-coding RNA is filed under the name Gallus gallus (chicken). RNAcentral's name for it is "lncRNA (ENSGALG00010021524.1)". Lineage: Eukaryota; Metazoa; Chordata; Aves; Galliformes; Phasianidae. The record is from RNAcentral.